Molecule: ribosomal RNA, 1448 nt
Filed under: uncultured organism
Description: 16S ribosomal RNA
Rfam family: Bacterial small subunit ribosomal RNA
Source: RNAcentral
GACGAACGCUGGCGGCGUGCCUAAUACAUGCAAGUAGAACGCUGAAGAGAGGAGCUUGCUCUUCUUGGAUGAGUUGCGAACGGGUGAGUAACGCGUAGGUAACCUGCCUUGUAGCGGGGGAUAACUAUUGGAAACGAUAGCUAAUACCGCAUAACAAUGGAUGACACAUGUCAUUUAUUUGAAAGGGGCAAUUGCUCCACUACAAGAUGGACCUGCGUUGUAUUAGCUAGUAGGUGAGGUAACGGCUCACCUAGGCGACGAUACAUAGCCGACCUGAGAGGGUGAUCGGCCACACUGGGACUGAGACACGGCCCAGACUCCUACGGGAGGCAGCAGUAGGGAAUCUUCGGCAAUGGGGGCAACCCUGACCGAGCAACGCCGCGUGAGUGAAGAAGGUUUUCGGGUCGUAAAGCUCUGUUGUAAGUCAAGAACGAGUGUGAGAGUGGAAAGUUCACACUGUGACGGUAGCUUACCAGAAAGGGACGGCUAACUACGUGCCAGCAGCCGCGGUAAUACGUAGGUCCCGAGCGUUGUCCGGAUUUAUUGGGCGUAAAGCGAGCGCAGGCGGUUUGAUAAGUCUGAAGUUAAAGGCUGUGGCUCAACCAUAGUUCGCUUUGGAAACUGUCAAACUUGAGUGCAGAAGGGGAGAGUGGAAUUCCAUGUGUAGCGGUGAAAUGCGUAGAUAUAUGGAGGAACACCGGUGGCGAAAGCGGCUCUCUGGUCUGUAACUGACGCUGAGGCUCGAAAGCGUGGGGAGCGAACAGGAUUAGAUACCCUGGUAGUCCACGCCGUAAACGAUGAGUGCUAGGUGUUGGAUCCUUUCCGGGAUUCAGUGCCGCAGCUAACGCAUUAAGCACUCCGCCUGGGGAGUACGACCGCAAGGUUGAAACUCAAAGGAAUUGACGGGGGCCCGCACAAGCGGUGGAGCAUGUGGUUUAAUUCGAAGCAACGCGAAGAACCUUACCAGGUCUUGACAUCCCGAUGCUAUUUCUAGAGAUAGAAAGUUACUUCGGUACAUCGGUGACAGGUGGUGCAUGGUUGUCGUCAGCUCGUGUCGUGAGAUGUUGGGUUAAGUCCCGCAACGAGCGCAACCCCUAUUGCUAGUUGCCAUCAUUCAGUUGGGCACUCUAGCGAGACUGCCGGUAAUAAACCGGAGGAAGGUGGGGAUGACGUCAAAUCAUCAUGCCCCUUAUGACCUGGGCUACACACGUGCUACAAUGGUUGGUACAACGAGUUGCGAGUCGGUGACGGCAAGCUAAUCUCUUAAAGCCAAUCUCAGUUCGGAUUGUAGGCUGCAACUCGCCUACAUGAAGUCGGAAUCGCUAGUAAUCGCGGAUCAGCACGCCGCGGUGAAUACGUUCCCGGGCCUUGUACACACCGCCCGUCACACCACGAGAGUUUGUAACACCCGAAGUCGGUGAGGUAACCUUUUGGAGCCAGCCGCCUAA